CCUACGGGGGGCAGCAGUGGGGAAUAUUGGGCAAUGGGCGCAAGCCUGACCCAGCAACGCCGCGUGAAGGAAGAAGGCUUUCGGGUUGUAAACUUCUUUUGUCAGGGACGAAGCAAGUGACGGUACCUGACGAAUAAGCCACGGCUAACUACGUGCCAGCAGCCGCGGUAAUACGUAGGUGGCAAGCGUUAUCCGGAUUUAUUGGGUGUAAAGGGCGUGUAGGCGGGAAUGCAAGUCAGAUGUGAAAACGAUGGGCUCAACCCAUAGCCUGCAUUUGAAACUGUAUUUCUUGAGUGCUGGAGAGGCAAUCGGAAUUCCGUGUGUAGCGGUGAAAUGCGUAGAUAUACGGAGGAACACUAGUGGCGAAGGCGGAUUGCUGGACUGCAACUGACACUGAUGCUCGAAAGUGUGGGUAUCAAACAGGAUUAGAUACCCUGGUAGUC
Molecule: ribosomal RNA, 443 nt
Filed under: uncultured bacterium
Lineage: Bacteria
Description: partial 16S ribosomal RNA
Rfam family: Bacterial small subunit ribosomal RNA
Source: RNAcentral